RNAcentral lists this long non-coding RNA (973 nucleotides) under Fukomys damarensis (Damara mole-rat). Its description in RNAcentral is "lncRNA (ENSFDAG00000024143.1)". Lineage: Eukaryota; Metazoa; Chordata; Mammalia; Rodentia; Bathyergidae. The record is from RNAcentral.
GUCAUUGGGAAGACUGACAGAGAAGGUUCUGGACUCCAGCUGGAAGAGGGAGGGCAGGAAGAAUGAAAAGGUUCUGAGAACCACAGGCUGCUCCUCCUCCCUGCUUUGCAAGAGGCCUGGAAAGUCCUGUGGGAGAGAGUAGAGGUGCUGUCCUUGCAACAGUGUGGUGUAAAAGGAAGUUGCCUCUGGUCAUCUCUUCUGGGUACUGAGAACAAGGCAUUCAACAACCCAAUCGCCGUACAUAGCACACAGCACUCGAAGGUGCGCUAACUUCUGUGGGACAGAACCCGUAUCCCAGAGCAGCUCUGGUGACCGGCUCUCACCUGGUUAUGUUUACUGUUGCCCACCUACCAGCCAUGGCGACCCAUCUACUUUCCCAGAGGCCCGGCAGCGUAGCCUGCCAGCCUGGCCCUGGGGCAUCCGCUGCAGCUCCUGCACCAUCUCAUCCCCUGCCAGCAAGGAGGCUGGGCUGGAUGGCAGUGAAGAGGACUGCAGCCCACCUGCCGACCCUGUGCUGCUGCUUCCCCGAAGAAACCGACCUGAAUAAAACUCAAGGAAGCAGGGGUCCAAUGGUGCGCCCAGUGUGUUACCUGUGUCUCAAUGCUGUCAUUUCAAUUGUCAAGUCGUAACUGUAGGGAGGACAGAAAGAGAGAGAGAGAGAGGGCACGGGGAUUGCUGAUCAAAGAGAACAGUUUCAGAUGGAGAUCUGCAGAGGAGGGUGGCCAUGACCAUCGUCAAGAAUAAUGUCUGGUGUGUUUCAAAGUAAGCGUCCGUUUCACAUGUCUCCUUGGGUUUUGUUUUGUUUUUUGAGUCAGGGUUUCACCAUGUAGUUCAGGCUGUUCUUGAACUCAUCAUGUAGCCCAGGCUGGCCUGGAACUCCUGGCAAACUUCUACAUCAGACUCCCAAGUUCUGGGAUUACAGGCAUGCACCACCAUGCCCGCAGUUUCCUUACAUUUUAAGUGGAGAUGCAUG